Molecule: ribosomal RNA, 462 nt
Filed under: uncultured bacterium
Lineage: Bacteria
Description: partial 16S ribosomal RNA
Rfam family: Bacterial small subunit ribosomal RNA
Source: RNAcentral
GACGAACGCUGGCGGCGUGCUUAACACAUGCAAGUCGAGCGGAAAGGCCCUUCGGGGUCCUCGAGCGGCGAACGGGUGAGUAACACGUGAGUAACCUGCCCCAGACUUUGGGAUAACCCUCGGAAACGGGGGCUAAUACCGGAUACGACACAGCUUCGCAUGGGGUCUGUGUGGAAAGUUUUUCGGUUUGGGAUGGGCUCGCGGCCUAUCAGCUUGUUGGUGGGGUGAUGGCCUACCAAGGCGACGACGGGUAGCCGGCCUGAGAGGGCGACCGGCCACACGGGGACUGAGACACGGCCCAGACUCCAACGGGAGGCAGCAGUGGGGAAUAUUGCACAAUGGGCGGAAGCCUGAUGCAGCGACGCCGCGUGAGGGAUGACGGCCUUCGGGUUGUAAACCUCUUUCAGCAGGAACGAAGCGUAAGUGACGGUACCUGCAGAAGAAGCGCCGGCCAACUACGUG